This 867-nucleotide ribosomal RNA is filed under the name Staphylococcus aureus. RNAcentral describes it as "partial 23S ribosomal RNA". It matches the Rfam family "Bacterial large subunit ribosomal RNA", at positions 1302 to 2165 of the family's 2925-position model. The record is from RNAcentral. Lineage: Bacteria; Bacillati; Bacillota; Bacilli; Caryophanales; Staphylococcaceae.
GUGAGUAGCGAAAGACGGGUGAGAAUCCCGUCCACCGAUUGACUAAGGUUUCCAGAGGAAGGCUCGUCCGCUCUGGGUUAGUCGGGUCCUAAGCUGAGGCCGACAGGCGUAGGCGAUGGAUAACAGGUUGAUAUUCCUGUACCACCUAUAAUCGUUUUAAUCGAUGGGGGGACGCAGUAGGAUAGGCGAAGCGUGCGAUUGGAUUGCACGUCUAAGCAGUAAGGCUGAGUAUUAGGCAAAUCCGGUACUCGUUAAGGCUGAGCUGUGAUGGGGAGAAGACAUUGUGUCUUCGAGUCGUUGAUUUCACACUGCCGAGAAAAGCCUCUAGAUAGAAAAUAGGUGCCCGUACCGCAAACCGACACAGGUAGUCAAGAUGAGAAUUCUAAGGUGAGCGAGCGAACUCUCGUUAAGGAACUCGGCAAAAUGACCCCGUAACUUCGGGAGAAGGGGUGCUCUUUAGGGUUAACGCCCAGAAGAGCCGCAGUGAAUAGGCCCAAGCGACUGUUUAUCAAAAACACAGGUCUCUGCUAAACCGUAAGGUGAUGUAUAGGGGCUGACGCCUGCCCGGUGCUGGAAGGUUAAGAGGAGUGGUUAGCUUCUGCGAAGCUACGAAUCGAAGCCCCAGUAAACGGCGGCCGUAACUAUAACGGUCCUAAGGUAGCGAAAUUCCUUGUCGGGUAAGUUCCGACCCGCACGAAAGGCGUAACGAUUUGGGCACUGUCUCAACGAGAGACUCGGUGAAAUCAUAGUACCUGUGAAGAUGCAGGUUACCCGCGACAGGACGGAAAGACCCCGUGGAGCUUUACUGUAGCCUGAUAUUGAAAUUCGGCACAGCUUGUACAGGAUAGGUAGGAGCCUUUGAAACGU